AUACGGAGGAUGCGAGCGUUAUCCGGAUUUAUUGGGUUUAAAGGGAGCGUAGGCGGGAGCUUAAGUCAGCGGUUAAAUGGUGCGGCUCAACCGUGCCCUGCCGUUGAAACUGGGGUUCUUGAGAGUGCCAGCGGCGGAUGGACUUCAUGGUGUAGCGGGGAAAUGCUUAGAUAUCAUGAAGAACUCCGAUUGCGAAGGCAGUCCGCUGGGGCACGUCUGACGCUGAUGCUCGAAGGUGCGGGAAUCAAACAGGAUUAGAUACCCUGGUAGUCCGCACGGUAAACGAUGAUUACCCGCUGUCGGCGGUAGACAGUCGGCGGCCAAGCGAAAGCGAUAAGUAAUCCACCUGGGGGUACGCCGGCAACGGUGAAACUCAAAUGAAUUGACGGGG
Molecule: ribosomal RNA, 391 nt
Filed under: uncultured bacterium
Lineage: Bacteria
Description: partial 16S ribosomal RNA
Rfam family: Bacterial small subunit ribosomal RNA
Source: RNAcentral